CGGAAAUAUCUCAACUCAGUGUUUCCCAGCAGACACAUCGAGUGAACCAAAGUUAUAUACGUUGAACACACUUAGGGGCGUGCUUCUAGAGCCAUAACGGCACCUUCAGUUGGGGGAGGGUUAAGAUGGGCUGUGGCUUCGAGGCCGAAUCUACACCUUCGUUGGGAAGCUCGGGGCUAGCAAAUAAAACCCGAAUGUCAUACCCAAACUCCGCCGUUUGACUGACCAGCAGGAUAUCGGAUGGGGAACAAAUUUUCUAAGGAAUAGAUCCGUUGUGUGCUUCCUAGAAACCUAGCCUAUUGUAGGACCUCUUUAUUCUUUUGUAGUAUGAGCAGUCAAAACUCUCUAUCAGCAGUGUAAAUCUACUACCAGUCCAUUACGAUUGCUGUUCUCUUAGUGGCAAGCUACCCAAUAUCUAUUGUGUUGUAGUUAGUGAGUAUUGUAGUAGCUGCAGAGUGUUGUUGUUAACAAAAUGGCUGCUACUUCUUUGUGUUUUCAACUGUGAAGAGGAUUAAGAUUAAGUUUUGAACGAUUUAAACUAAAACAAUUAGAUUAUUCGCUCUCGGUUUAGACGCGUGAUAGUAGGUUCGGGCUGCGCCUUCAUCAACUAUUCGCGAUAAAAAUCGAGAGCGAAUCAUCUAACUGUGAAAUAUUGAGUAUACCCUCUAGUCUAGUAAUUUGCCCAUAUUGACUUGGUUUUGAUUGCUAUCAUGUUUCAGCUGAUAAAGAGACAGAGUGUGGGGUUUGUCCUGUUCAUCAUCACUGCGUUCAGGGAUUUUGUGUUUGUAUUCCCGGAUAUAUUUGCCAAGAUUUGACAAGAUCUAUGGGCUAAAAAUCAUCAACUGAUGAAGCCUGGGGACAAUUUUCUAAGAUUUGAGACCAAAACUCUCUGUCUGUUGGAGUCAACGCACCUGCAUCAGUUAUAAGAUGUGGACAAAGUGAAGAGAUAGAGUCGUUGCAUUUUGCUUUCGGGAGUUUCCUUUUGUACAGUGAUAUAUUAUAUUAUUAUGUUAUAAAUUGAUGUCAUGUACAGUUUUUCAGUAGGUAGCCGAAGAAUUCAAAGUAAGCUGUAUGGUCAAAGUCUUUACCUGAAUACGAUACUGUUACAAGGAAGAAAUUCCACUUCUAAAUAUUUUUGUAUAACUGGCAAUUCUGAGUAUCAUCAUCACAUUAUCAAUUAAAGCAAUCCUAAGAAUGAUUUCCCGGCUACAACAGCACACCUAAUUUAAUUUAUGGAUAGAACAAUUGAGCUGUGCGAUUCAUGAAACGCUCCCUGGUCAGAAGUAACAAAACUAGACAAAAUUCUACAGCGAAACCUGUAUUAAGCGGACACCCUUGGCACCCUCAUUAGUGUCCGCUUAAUACAGUGUGUCCGCUCAAAACAGGUUCUAAUAUGUUGUGCAGUAAUAGUUAAUUAUUAACCCUUUUGUAAACACAAUGUAACACAGUGUGAGAUCACAGACUGCUCAUAUGCACAAUGUUCAGUCAGUCAGUGCAUCAAUCUGAAAUAAUCACUUAGCUUUAAAACGACAUCGCUGAACAAUGUUAAAGGAGUCUGAGUUGAGCCUUUAGAGGUAAAAUGCCCUUGGAGUGUCCGCUUACUGCAGGUUUUGUGCAACAAAAUGGCUUAAUGUUGGUGUCCGCUGAAUACAAGUUUAUUUUACAGUAAAUGUGGAAAGAAUAUUAUGGGACUUCAGCUGGUGUCCACUUAAUAGAGGGUGUCCGCUUAAUAUGGGGUCGGCUUAAUACAGGCUUCACUGUAUAACUAUACUAUAUGCAAUAUAAUUAGUAAUUCACUGAUAUAUAUAUACACGAAAGAGACAGACGGGAAAAAGGCCAGGUGGUAAAAAGUUGGGCUUUAGAGCAAAGUGCAGUGAGGCUUAAACGUUCCUGUUUUACAGCUGAUCAGACCAAGUUGAUUAAGUGAGUAUCUUAAAGUUUAAGACUAGCUGGUGUAUGUGGAACGAGAUGGAAUGGCAGCUUGCGUCAAUCCGUUUAUCUGGCGCUGGUAAAAUCUUGAGCUCUUUUAUGUUGAAUUGUCUCAGCAGGGUCGCACAGUAAUAUUACAAUAGAGUACUAAAUAAAGUGCAGUUUUGAAGCAAUUCCUAUCAUAUACUCUGAUUCACCAAGGGAUCGUUUAAUUGAUAAAUAAAUCAAAUCAUACGGACCAAGAUAUUUUUUCCCUUUGAUAUCCAAGGAAGUAGGGCAAUGGUACUAAGCUCAAGUCCAGUUAUUACACUGUAUAUUUGUCAUUGCCUAGAAUUCCGUAUUCAUCAAAAUUUUGCUAUUUUAAAAUCAUACUUAGUGGUGUUUUUGCUAAAACUGCCUGUGAACGGGCUCUUCAUCCUGUCCGAUUCUUUUGGAUAUUAAUGAUAUCUAGAAUGUUUUUACAGCUUGUGUCACCAUCAGAUUUCUUUGUCGAUUGCCAGAAUGGAAGAAGAACAUGUCUUCAAAGUUGGGCAAAGGCAAGCCAGUGGUUAACGUGCUCGGUACAACUUGUGAGGGCCACUUAUAUUCUCAUAUGUGCUUCUGGGCUCCACGUAAGCUAAGUUCCCCACAGUAUAAGCCGCUGGUAUGUGGACAAUUAGACUUGAAACCAGAUGUAUGCCACCCUCACCAAGGCUGCAACCAGCAAAAAAUAUGACCGAGGCAAGGUCUAAGAAAAAGUUAUAUCUGAGGCAAUGUACAUGGUUAAAUUUUCUUCCUAGGUAUUUAGGAUGUUUAUGAUAAUAACUACAAGCGACAAGAA
This 2749-nucleotide long non-coding RNA is filed under the name Orbicella faveolata. Its description in RNAcentral is "uncharacterized LOC110064076". Lineage: Eukaryota; Metazoa; Cnidaria; Anthozoa; Scleractinia; Merulinidae. The record is from RNAcentral.